AACGCUAGCUACAGGCUUAACACAUGCAAGUCGAGGGGCAGCAUUACGGUAGCUUGCUACUGUAGAUGGCGACCGGCGCACGGGUGAGUAACGCGUAUCCAACCUGCCCAUGACUUGGGGAUAACCUUGCGAAAGCAAGCCUAAUACCCGAUACGCUUCAUAGACGGCAUCUGAAAUGAAGUAAAGGUUUACGGUUAUGGAUGGGGAUGCGUCCGAUUAGCUUGUUGGCGGGGUAACGGCCCACCAAGGCAUCGAUCGGUAGGGGUUCUGAGAGGAAGGUCCCCCACAUUGGAACUGAGACACGGUCCAAACUCCUACGGGAGGCAGCAGUGAGGAAUAUUGGUCAAUGGAGGCAACUCUGAACCAGCCAAGUAGCGUGCAGGAUGACGGCCCUAUGGGUUGUAAACUGCUUUUAUGCGGGGAUAAAUUGACUCACGUGUGGGUCAUUGCAGGUACCGCAUGAAUAAGGACCGGCUAAUUCCGUGCCAGCAGCCGCGGUAAUACGGAAGGUCCGGGCGUUAUCCGGAUUUAUUGGGUUUAAAGGGAGCGUAGGCCGUUGUUUAAGCGUGUUGUGAAAUGUCCCGGCUCAACCGUGGCACUGCAGCGCGAACUGGACGACUUGAGUGCGCGGAACGUAUGCGGAAUUUGUGGUGUAGCGGUGAAAUGCUUAGAUAUCACGAAGAACUCCGAUUG
Molecule: ribosomal RNA, 693 nt
Filed under: uncultured bacterium
Lineage: Bacteria
Description: bacterial SSU rRNA
Rfam family: Bacterial small subunit ribosomal RNA
Source: RNAcentral